UGUGGGAGCGGGCUUGCCCGCGAUGCCGGCGGUUCAGUCAAUGAUGUGUCGACUGAUACACCGCAAUCGCGGGCAAGCCCGCUCCCACA
RNAcentral lists this unclassified non-coding RNA (89 nucleotides) under Pseudomonas cedrina. Lineage: Bacteria; Pseudomonadati; Pseudomonadota; Gammaproteobacteria; Pseudomonadales; Pseudomonadaceae. The record is from RNAcentral.